AACCUUCUGUAUCCGUGCAGAGAUUUCGUCACAGAUCAGAUCAUAAGGGUUGAUGAGACUUCCAAGAUAAGUGAAGCG
RNAcentral lists this microRNA precursor (78 nucleotides) under Schistosoma curassoni. RNAcentral describes it as "mir-3492 microRNA precursor family". It matches the Rfam family "mir-3492 microRNA precursor family". Lineage: Eukaryota; Metazoa; Platyhelminthes; Trematoda; Strigeidida; Schistosomatidae. The record is from Rfam by way of RNAcentral.